Molecule: non-coding RNA, 23 nt
Filed under: Rattus norvegicus (Norway rat)
Lineage: Eukaryota; Metazoa; Chordata; Mammalia; Rodentia; Muridae
Source: RNAcentral
ACCCUGCAUACUUGCUCUUAGGG